Molecule: long non-coding RNA, 292 nt
Filed under: Homo sapiens (human)
Lineage: Eukaryota; Metazoa; Chordata; Mammalia; Primates; Hominidae
Description: non-protein coding lnc-RAB11FIP4-8:1
Source: RNAcentral
GCAAAGUGGUAUCAGGAUAGCACAGAGCAAAGAAGAUAAAGAAACUCAAGAGCCCAUCAGGUGUCCCGCCCCCAGGUGCGACGGCCAGGGCCACAUCACCGGGUAGUACGCGUCCCACUGUAGCGCCUCCGGGUGCCCCUUGGCAGCCAAGCGGACCUGAAUGGCUCCCAGUUCUCCUGGAAGUCGGUCAGGACGGAAGGCAUGUCCUGCUCCACGGCGGGGUGUAACGGCUAGGGCCACGUCAGCAGCAGCUUCCUCACACACCGCAGGCAGUUCCUGUCUGAAAAGCACC